RNAcentral lists this long non-coding RNA (857 nucleotides) under Equus caballus (horse). Its description in RNAcentral is "lncRNA (ENSECAG00000053045.1)". The record is from RNAcentral. Lineage: Eukaryota; Metazoa; Chordata; Mammalia; Perissodactyla; Equidae.
UCCACUUGAUUGAGCACUGUUUGCUCUGAGCCUGGGGCGGCAGGGUUGAGGCGGCGGGGCUCUAGUUGCCUGAAAAAGCCCGAGCCUGGCCUCUCGCUCCCCCAGAAAGCACUGCAGAGCUGCGGCCUGAUCAAUGCUGGGCGCUGAUACCCACAGGAGCCGGGCUCGCGAUUCCCGGCAGGCGGCCGCUGCGCCCCUGCGGAGAGGAGGCUCCGGCUGCUCGACUGCGACCCCUGGCGGCCGUCGGAGAAACUCCCCGCAGAGCUGCACAAGCGAAUGGGCCGCUGGACAGGAAGCGAAGGGAGGAUUUUAAUGGAAACUGGGUUCACACAGCUCUCAAGCCCAGACCCAAAUGUGCAAGCAGACCAGGCAGCACCCACAAAAUGGAAGAGUACAUGAGAGGCCGGAACUAAGCAGAUCCUGACCCAGAGCUCCAAGUUCCCAACAACGCUAAGAAUCUAUGACUGGGGAGAAGGGACACAACCUCUUGCAGGGAACCACCUGCAAUCCAAAUGUGAUAGCUGGAUCUCCAUCAGCCAUCUUGGACCAUAAGUCGACCUUGAGGAUGGAAACCACAUCCUAGGAUAUGAAGGAACUGAGGACCACAGAGGUGAAAUCGGGUUCCCAAAAGCUCUCUAAGGUCCCCUGUUGGAAGGCACAGUCGUCCUGAUUAUUCCCCACAAAGGAUACCUUCAUCAUCCUGUGUCCUGCGUAGUAUCUUCAUCGCUCAUGGCCCUUGCUCCAGGACUUCUCUUCUGGACGCUGUGCCCAGCCCCUGACGAGGGACAGAUGCUCAGCCCUGAGCACCAGCCACUGAGAUGGCGUUCUUUUCCUGCACUGAUAUCAUCAGUCACAUC